AUACGUAGGGGGCGAGCGUUGUCCGGAAUGAUUGGGCGUAAAGGGCGCGUAGGCGGCGAGGUAAGUCUGGAGUGAAAGUCCUGCUUUCAAGGUGGGAAUUGCUUUGGAUACUGCCGCGCUUGAGUGCAGGAGAGGUUAUCGGAAUUCCCGGUGUAGCGGUGAAAUGCGUAGAGAUCGGGAGGAACACCAGUGGCGAAGGCGGGUAACUGGACUGCAACUGACGCUGAGGCGCGAAAGUGUGGGGAGCAAACAGGAUUAGAUACCCUGGUAGUCCACACCGUAAACGAUGAAUGCUAGGUGUAAGAGGUAGCGACCCCUUUUGUGCCGGAGUCAACACAAUAAGCAUUCCGCCUGGGGAGUACGGUCGCAAGAUUAAAACUCAAAGGAAUUGACGGGG
RNAcentral lists this ribosomal RNA (397 nucleotides) under uncultured bacterium. Its description in RNAcentral is "partial 16S ribosomal RNA". It matches the Rfam family "Bacterial small subunit ribosomal RNA", at positions 523 to 918 of the family's 1533-position model. The record is from RNAcentral.